GAGAGAGAGAUGGAGAGAGAAAAAGAAAAAAAGAAAGAAAGGGGACGAUAUUAGUGUGAAAAUAGUU
RNAcentral lists this non-coding RNA (67 nucleotides) under Bigelowiella longifila. Lineage: Eukaryota; Cercozoa; Chlorarachniophyceae. The record is from RNAcentral.